Molecule: ribosomal RNA, 1380 nt
Filed under: Curtobacterium sp.
Lineage: Bacteria; Bacillati; Actinomycetota; Actinomycetes; Micrococcales; Microbacteriaceae
Description: bacterial SSU rRNA
Rfam family: Bacterial small subunit ribosomal RNA
Source: RNAcentral
UGCAGUCGAACGAUGAUCAGGAGCUUGCUCCUGUGAUUAGUGGCGAACGGGUGAGUAACACGUGAGUAACCUGCCCCUGACUCUGGGAUAAGCGUUGGAAACGACGUCUAAUACUGGAUAUGAUCACUGGCCGCAUGGUCUGGUGGUGGAAAGAUUUUUNGGUUGGGGAUGGNNNCGCGGCCUAUCAGCUUGUUGGUGAGGUAAUGGCUCACCAAGGCGACGACGGGUAGCCGGCCUGAGAGGGUGACCGGCCACACUGGGACUGAGACACGGCCCAGACUCCUACGGGAGGCAGCAGUGGGGAAUAUUGCACAAUGGGCGAAAGCCUGAUGCAGCAACGCCGCGUGAGGGAUGACGGCCUUCGGGUUGUAAACCUCUUUUAGUAGGGAAGAAGCGAAAGUGACGGUACCUGCAGAAAAAGCACCGGCUAACUACGUGCCAGCAGCCGCGGUAAUACGUAGGGUGCAAGCGUUGUCCGGNAAUUAUUGGGCGUAAAGAGCUCGUAGGCGGUUUGUCGCGUCUGCUGUGAAAUCCCGAGGCUCAACCUCGGGCUUGCAGUGGGUACGGGCAGACUAGAGUGCGGUAGGGGAGAUUGGAAUUCCUGGUGUAGCGGUGGAAUGCGCAGAUAUCAGGAGGAACACCGAUGGCGAAGGCAGAUCUCUGGGCCGUAACUGACGCUGAGGAGCGAAAGCGUGGGGAGCGAACAGGAUUAGAUACCCUGGUAGUCCACGCCGUAAACGUUGGGCGCUAGAUGUAGGGACCUUUCCACGGUUUCUGUGUCGUAGCUAACGCAUUAAGCGCCCCGCCUGGGGAGUACGGCCGCAAGGCUAAAACUCAAAGGAAUUGACGGGGGCCCGCACAAGCGGCGGAGCAUGCGGAUUAAUUCGAUGCAACGCGAAGAANCCUUACCAAGGCUUGACAUACACCGGGAAACGGCCAGAGAUGGUCGCCCCCUUGUGGUCAGUGUACAGGUGGUGCAUGGNUUGUCGUCAGCUCGUGUCGUGAGAUGUUGGGUUAAGUCCCGCAACGAGCGCAACCCUCGUUCUAUGUUGCCAGCGCGUUAUGGCGGGGACUCAUAGGAGACUGCCGGGGUCAACUCGGAGGAAGGUGGGGAUGACGUCAAAUCAUCAUGCCCCUUAUGUCUUGGGCUUCACGCAUGCUACAAUGGCCGGUACAAAGGGCUGCGAUACCGUAAGGUGGAGCGAAUCCCAAAAAGCCGGUCUCAGUUCGGAUUGAGGUCUGCAACUCGACCUCAUGAAGUCGGAGUCGCUAGUAAUCGCAGAUCAGCAACGCUGCGGUGAAUACGUUCCCGGGCCUUGUACACACCGCCCGUCAAGUCAUGAAAGUCGGUAACACCCGAAGCCGGUGGCCUAACCCUUG